UUUGUACUCCCUCCGUCCCAAAAUUCUUGUCUUAAAUUUGUCUAAAUACGGAUGUAUCUAGUUACAUUUUAUGUUAGAUACAUCCGUAUCUAAACAAAUGUAAGACAAGAAUUUUGGGACGGAGGGAAUACUAC
Triticum aestivum (bread wheat) is the source of this 134-nucleotide non-coding RNA. Lineage: Eukaryota; Viridiplantae; Streptophyta; Magnoliopsida; Poales; Poaceae. The record is from Rfam.